CAGCAGCCACGGUAAUACGUAGGUGGCAAGCGUUGUCCGGAAUUAUUGGGCGUAAAGCGAGCGCAGGCGGUUAGAUAAGUCUGAAGUUAAAGGCUGUGGCUUAACCAUAGUACGCUUUGGAAACUGUUUAACUUGAGUGCAAGAGGGGAGAGUGGAAUUCCAUGUGUAGCGGUGAAAUGCGUAGAUAUAUGGAGGAACACCGGUGGCGAAAGCGGCUCUCUGGCUUGUGACUGACGCUGAGGCUCGAAAGCGUGGGGAGCAAACAGGAUUAGAUACCCCAGUAGUCCCUGUCUCUUAUACA
RNAcentral lists this ribosomal RNA (301 nucleotides) under uncultured bacterium. RNAcentral's name for it is "partial 16S ribosomal RNA". It matches the Rfam family "Bacterial small subunit ribosomal RNA", at positions 509 to 808 of the family's 1533-position model. The record is from RNAcentral.